Molecule: ribosomal RNA, 229 nt
Filed under: uncultured bacterium
Lineage: Bacteria
Description: partial 16S ribosomal RNA
Rfam family: Bacterial small subunit ribosomal RNA
Source: RNAcentral
CGCGUAGGCGGUCUGGUCAGUCGGAUGUGAAAGCCCCGGGCUCAACCUGGGAAUUGCAUUCGAUACUGCCCGACUAGAAUAUGGAAGAGGGAAGUGGAAUUUCCGGUGUAGCGGUGAAAUGCGUAGAGAUCGGAAGGAACACCAGUGGCGAAGGCGGCUUCCUGGUCCAAUAUUGACGCUGUGGUGCGAAAGCGUGGGGAGCGAACAGGAUUAGAUACCCUGGUAGUCC